GGAAAGGAGAAGAAUGUCCUGGAUAAUAUUCUGGACAUGCUUCCCAAGGAGUUUAACGUGGCAGACAUCACACAGACAGCUACUGCCUGGAGCCCCUGUGCCCUUGUGUGCCUUCAAGAGUGUGGGAGGAUGAACCUCCUCCUGUCGGGGAUCCAUAGGUCUCUUAAAUAGCUGGACCUAAGUCUGCAGGGCUACUGAUCUUCUCAUGCGAGAAGAGAACUUGGGAUCUGGCCACAGGACCUUGUGCUGCCAGUGGUGGUGUGGCUUUCUGGCUUGUUCAGUCCUCAGUCCUUGCUGACAGAGUUAAGCACAAGUUUAAAUAAAAAGAUAAAAAAAUCAGCUAAAUACCAGAAUAACCAUCUCCUGGAAGCAAGAGGAACAAUCCAAACUCAUCUCCAGUUUCCUCAGAAGCAUGAAGACAAAGCAGGUAAGGAAAUAAAUGCUGCUUUUCAUAGUUUAAAAAAGUUUAAGAGUGCAGGUCUUCCCAACGUUAGUAUUUAACCAAUUCCGUGCACGUGACAUGGUGACAUGGCAUUUUAUUCCUUAGUAUUAAUGCACUGUUAUCAGGCAAAGCAGGAAAA
RNAcentral lists this long non-coding RNA (581 nucleotides) under Calidris pugnax (ruff). RNAcentral's name for it is "lncRNA (ENSCPUG00000010883.1)". The record is from RNAcentral. Lineage: Eukaryota; Metazoa; Chordata; Aves; Charadriiformes; Scolopacidae.